RNAcentral lists this ribosomal RNA (1910 nucleotides) under human gut metagenome. RNAcentral's name for it is "bacterial LSU rRNA". It matches the Rfam family "Bacterial large subunit ribosomal RNA", at positions 853 to 2779 of the family's 2925-position model. The record is from RNAcentral.
UCUCCUCGAAAUAGCUUUAGGGCUAGCCUCAUGGAUCAUUGGUGGGGGUAGAGCACUGAAUGUGCGCGGGGGCAACAAAGCCUACCAAACGCUAUCAAACUUCGAAUACCAUACAAUGCAGACCAUGGGAGUCAGUCCGCGAGAGAUAAGUUCCGCGGGCAAAAGGGGAACACCCCAGAUCAACCGCUAAGGUCCCCAAGUUCACGUUAAGUGGAGAAGGAUGUGGAAUUGCACAGACAACCAGGAUGUUGGCUCAGAAGCAGCCACACAUUUAAAGAGUGCGUAAUAGCUCACUGGUCGAGUGAUUGUGCGCCGAAGAUGUCCGGGGCUAAACGUGACACCGAAGCGAUGGGUGCGUCUGAAGAAGAUGCGCGGUAGAGGAGCAAUGUGCAGAGGCAGAAGCCGUAUCGAGAGGCACGGUGGACACUGCACAAGAGAGAAUGCCGGUAUGAGUAGCGAGAGGCAUGCGAGAAACAUGCCCGUCGAAAGCCCAAGGUUUCCUGGGGAAGGUUCAUCCGCCCAGGGUAAGUCGGGGCCUAAGCCGAGGACGGAAGUCGUAGGCGAUGGACAGCAGGUGUAGAUUCCUGCACUACCGAUGGAAUGAAGCAGUGACACAGAAGGAUAACUCGAGCAGGGUGAUGGUCAACCCUGUGCAAGCAUCAAGGUUGGGUUGUAGUGAAGUACGCAAUCCUAUAAGCUGAGGUGUGAUGCGGACCGAAAUUUCAGUAGGGAAGCGAGUGAGUUCACGCUGGCGAGAAAAGCUGCUAGUAUAUCCAAAGGUACCCGUACCGGAAACCGACGCAGGUGGGCGAGGAGAGAAUCCUGAGACGAACGGGAGAACCCUUGUUAAGGAACUCGGCAAAAUGACCCCGUAACUUCGGGAUAAGGGGUGCCUACGAAAGUAGGUCGCAGAGAAUAGUCACAAGCGACUGUUUAGCAAAAACACAGGUAUCUGCGAAAGCGAGAGCUGACGUAUAGGUGCUGACACCUGCCCGGUGCUGGAAGGUUAAGGGAACAUGUUAGAGCAAUCGAAGCAUCGAACCGAAGCCCCAGUAAACGGCGGCCGUAACUAUAACGGUCCUAAGGUAGCGAAAUUCCUUGUCGGGUAAGUUCCGACCCGCACGAAUGGUGUAACGACUUGUGAGCUGUCUCAACAGGGGGCCCGGUGAAAUUGAAGUAUGGGUGAAGAUGCCCAUUACCCGCGACUGGACGGAAAGACCCCGUAGAGCUUUACUGCAGCCUGAUAUUGAGUUUCGGUAACUGAUGCACAGGAUAGGUGGGAGUCUGAGAGACAUGGGUUUCGGCUCAUGUGGAGACAGUGUUGGGAUACCACUCUUCGGUUACUGAAAUUCUAACAUAGCUCUGUGAAACCAGAGGAUGGACAGUGUCAGGUGGACAGUUUGACUGGGGCGGUCGCCUCCGAAAGAGUAACGGAGGCGCCCAAAGGUACCCUCAGAAUGGAUGGAAACCAUUCGAAGAGCGCAAAGGCAGAAGGGUGCCUGACUGCGAGAUUGACAAAUCGAGCAGAGACGAAAGUCGGGCUUAGUGAUCCGGCGGUAUUGAGUGGAAAAGCCGUCGCUUAACGGAUAAAAGCUACCUCGGGGAUAACAGGCUGAUCUCCCCCAAGAGUCCACAUCGACGGGGAGGUUUGGCACCUCGAUGUCGGCUCGUCGCAUCCUGGGGCUGAAGCAGGUCCCAAGGGUUUGGCUGUUCGCCAAUUAAAGCGGCACGCGAGCUGGGUUCAGAACGUCGUGAGACAGUUCGGUCCCUAUCCAUCGUGGGCGUAGGAGUCAUGAGAGGAGCUGUUCCUAGUACGAGAGGACCGGAAUGGACGCACCACUGGUGCAACUGUUGUCGUGCCAACGGCAUAGCAGGGAAGCGAAGUGCGGAUGGGAUAAACGCUGAAGGCA